UCCGGUUUGUCACCGGCAGUCUCAAUAAAGUGCUCACCUUCACGUGUUAGCAACUAUCGAUAAGGGUUGCGCUCGUUGCGGGACUUAACCCAACAUCUCACGACACGAGCUGACGACAGCCAUGCAGCACCUGUGUGUCCAUUCUCUUGCGAGCACCUCUCCAUCUCUGGAAAGUUUGAACCAUGUCAAGGGUAGGUAAGGUUUUUCGCGUUGCAUCGAAUUAAUCCACAUCAUCCACCGCUUGUGCGGGUCCCCGUCAAUUCCUUUGAGUUUUAAUCUUGCGACCGUACUCCCCAGGCGGUCAACUUCCCGCGUUAGCUACGUUACUAAGACCUAUUAGCCCCAACAACUAGUUGACAUCGUUUAGGGCGUGGACUAC
RNAcentral lists this unclassified non-coding RNA (379 nucleotides) under uncultured Gammaproteobacteria bacterium. RNAcentral's name for it is "contains 16S-23S intergenic spacer region". The record is from RNAcentral. Lineage: Bacteria; Pseudomonadati; Pseudomonadota; Gammaproteobacteria.